RNAcentral lists this long non-coding RNA (1481 nucleotides) under Salmo salar (Atlantic salmon). RNAcentral's name for it is "lncRNA (ENSSSAG00000105466.1)". Lineage: Eukaryota; Metazoa; Chordata; Actinopteri; Salmoniformes; Salmonidae. The record is from RNAcentral.
CAUGUUUAGCUAACCAGACAGCCCCAUGGAUGUCUCGCCUCAAUGAACAUCUGGCUGCAUCGGAGAUUGGGCCCAGCUGAGAUCAGAUGUUGACCCCCUACAGGCCCUUCAAUAUGCAUGACUGUCUCCCCUCCUCCACCGUCCAACCCCCACUAAACAGCUGAAUACAGCCAGCUAGUCUACAAUCCCACUGCAGUAAUGCCCAUGGCAUGAUACACAUCCAGAUAAUAAUACAGUAAUAGAGUUGUGUUACUAAGACGUGUAUCAUCACUUCGUCUAGUUUGCUCUGAGCCUUUUCAAGUAUUGGGGACAAAGUCACUGACCAGAUCACACAUGAUUUGGAUAGUCCAUCUGUAGAUGGUGUACAGAUGGUCAUUACUAUCAACAAACUAUCUGUUGAUAAGCAACUGCUUGCGAAGUUUAGGUUUACAAUAAGGGUUAGGUCUAGGUUUAGGAUAAGGGUUAGGUUUAGAAUAAGGGUUAGGGCUAGGUUUAGGAUAAGGGUUAGGUUUAGGAUAAGGGUUAAGUUCAGGGUUAGGAUAAAGGUUAGGGUUAGGUUUAGAAUAAGGGUUAGGGCUAGGUUUAGGAUAAGGGUUAAGUUCAGGGCUAGGAUAAAGGUUAGGUUUAGGUUUAGAAUAAGGGUUAGGUCUAGGUUUAGGAUUAGGGCUAGGUUUAGGAUAAGGGUUAAGUUCAGGGCUAGGAUAAAGGUUAGGUUUAGAAUAAGGGUUAGGGCUAGGUUUAGGAUAAGGGUUAAGUUCAGGGUUAGGAUAAGGGUUACUGUUAGGGUUAGUAGAUAGUUUAAAUGUUACUGAUAGUCUCUAGAGCAUAUACAGACGGAUGAUCCAAAGACCAAUUAGUGGGAAAAUAUCAUAAUUGGUUUGCCUGUGUGAACGCAGCGAUAUAGAUACAGUCAAUCAACUGGAAGGAGCUAGUUGAGGAACAGGAUGUGCCACUGGCUAUUUGCAUAGCCAACACCAACUCUUUAUCAUGUUGACAGAUUCAGAUCUGUAGUAGAGACAAAUCACCACAGACACUGUAGACUAACAAUAGACAUUCUGUGUACAUCACAUGUACAUCCACACUGGUGGAUCCUUGUUAGGUGAUGAUGACUAACGUUAUAGUGAUGUAUUUGGGGUAGCCUAGUAGUACAUUGGUAGCCUGGUCCCAGAUCUGUUGUCUCCUUCUAUAGCCUGGUCCCAGAUCUGUUGUCUCCUUCUAUAGCCUGGUCCCAGAUCUGUUGUCUCCUUCUAUAGCCUGGUCCCAGAUCUGUUGUCUCCUUCUAUAGCCUGGUCCCAGAUCUGUUGUAUCCUUCUAUAGCCUGGUCCCAGAUCUGUUGUAUCCUCCUAUAGCCUGGUCCCAGAUCUGUUGUCUCCUUCUAAAGCCUGGUCCCAGAUCUGUUGUCUCCUCCUAUAGCCUGGUCCCAGAUCUGUUGUCUCCUUCUAUAGCCUGGUCCCAGAUCUGUUGUCUCCUUCUAUAGCCUG